CAUAGGUUAAUGAGGCGAACCGGGGGAACUGAAACAUCUAAGUACCCCGAGGAAAAGAAAUCAACCGAGAUUCCCCCAGUAGCGGCGAGCGAACGGGGAGCAGCCCAGAGCCUGAAUCAGUGUGUGUGUUAGUGGAAGCGUCUGGAAAGGCGCGCGAUACAGGGUGACAGCCCCGUACACAAAAAUGCACAUACUGUGAGCUCGAUGAGUAGGGCGGGACACGUGGUAUCCUGUCUGAAUAUGGGGGGACCAUCCUCCAAGGCUAAAUACUCCUGACUGACCGAUAGUGAACCAGUACCGUGAGGGAAAGGCGAAAAGAACCCCGGCGAGGGGAGUGAAAAAGAACCUGAAACCGU
RNAcentral lists this ribosomal RNA (356 nucleotides) under Escherichia coli. RNAcentral's name for it is "partial 23S ribosomal RNA". It matches the Rfam family "Bacterial large subunit ribosomal RNA", at positions 165 to 559 of the family's 2925-position model. Lineage: Bacteria; Pseudomonadati; Pseudomonadota; Gammaproteobacteria; Enterobacterales; Enterobacteriaceae. The record is from RNAcentral.